CCAAUGAGGACUGUUGAAUGGAGUUGGCAGUUUUACUCUGCAUGAACUGAAACAAUAAGACGCCUCAUGAACCUUAAACACUAAUAAAAGUGAAAUCAAGUGACGUUACUGCUGCUUUAUGAAGGCAGUCAUCGCAGGUCCCUCCCACCACUUCAGCCAUUAGUCCCGUCCAAUCAGAGUCCAGUUUGAGCCGCGCCAAAAAUCGGUCGCACCUGUUGCCCAUGCGCUAAUCAAACCCAUGUGACCGGAAAGGAGCGGGCUCAGCCAAUAGCAGGGCAGCAGUUUAUGUCGGCGCCGCUUAUGAGGCGUCGGGGUGACGCCGGCUCGGGUUUGCCGUGGAAUACCGGACACCUGGGUAACGUUCUGCUUUGUUCAAGAUCUUUUUCUGUGAAAGCUGUGGCUGAGAGCAGAGACACGAUUCCGGCCUAGUGGAGCUGGAACUUCGGCGUGAGCCCGGGACAGGCGGCUCCCGUGUCCGGAGCAGUCCAGAGGAAAAAUGGCGGAUGUGGAGGCCAGGACGGUCGAAGGGAUUCAGCGGAGCAGCCGAGACCAUUUCGGAGAAGGCACCGCGCUUGG
Molecule: long non-coding RNA, 576 nt
Organism: Toxotes jaculatrix (banded archerfish)
Lineage: Eukaryota; Metazoa; Chordata; Actinopteri; Toxotidae
Exons: 3
Source: RefSeq, a predicted model, not a curated record